RNAcentral lists this ribosomal RNA (2742 nucleotides) under Salmonella enterica subsp. enterica serovar Enteritidis. Its description in RNAcentral is "bacterial LSU rRNA". It matches the Rfam family "Bacterial large subunit ribosomal RNA", at positions 354 to 2925 of the family's 2925-position model. Lineage: Bacteria; Pseudomonadati; Pseudomonadota; Gammaproteobacteria; Enterobacterales; Enterobacteriaceae. The record is from RNAcentral.
GCGAUACAGGGUGACAGCCCCGUACACAAAAGCGCAUGUGCUGUGAGCUCGAUGAGUAGGGCGGGACACGUGGUAUCCUGUCUGAAUAUGGGGGGACCAUCCUCCAAGGCUAAAUACUCCUGACUGACCGAUAGUGAACCAGUACCGUGAGGGAAAGGCGAAAAGAACCCCGGCGAGGGGAGUGAAAAAGAACCUGAAACCGUGUACGUACAAGCAGUGGGAGCCCCACCACCAAAGCAUUUGCUGUACCGCGUUGACGGAGCGAAGCGACGUCAAACCGAUAAAACAGCAGUGUAAAGUGAGCCGCAGGGCGCUUUGCGCGACAGCGCAAAGGCAGGCGGUUUCGCGUAGCGAAAGCGAAUGCUUUGGGGUGGGGUGACUGCGUACCUUUUGUAUAAUGGGUCAGCGACUUAUAUUCUGUAGCAAGGUUAACCGAAUAGGGGAGCCGGAGGGAAACCGAGUCUUAAUUGGGCGUUAAGUUGCAGGGUAUAGACCCGAAACCCGGUGAUCUAGCCAUGGGCAGGUUGAAGGUUGGGUAACACUAACUGGAGGACCGAACCGACUAAUGUUGAAAAAUUAGCGGAUGACCUGUGGCUGGGGGUGAAAGGCCAAUCAAACCGGGAGAUAGCUGGUUCUCCCCGAAAGCUAUUUAGGUAGCGCCUCGUGAAUUCAUCUCCGGGGGUAGAGCACUGUUUCGGCUAGGGGGCCAUCCCGGCUUACCAACCCGAUGCAAACUGCGAAUACCGGAGAAUGUUAUCACGGGAGACACACGGCGGGUGCUAACGUCCGUCGUGAAGAGGGAAACAACCCAGACCGCCAGCUAAGGUCCCAAAGUCAUGGUUAAGUGGGAAACGAUGUGGGAAGGCCCAGACAGCCAGGAUGUUGGCUUAGAAGCAGCCAUCAUUUAAAGAAAGCGUAAUAGCUCACUGGUCGAGUCGGCCUGCGCGGAAGAUGUAACGGGGCUAAACCAUGCACCGAAGCUGCGGCAGCGACRCUKAUGYGUUGUUGGGUAGGGGAGCGUUCUGUAAGCCUGYGAAGGUGUGYCUGUGAGGSWUGCUGGAGGUAUCAGAAGUGCGAAUGCUGACAUAAGUAACGAUAAAGCGGGUGAAAAGCCCGCUCGCCGGAAGACCAAGGGUUCCUGUCCAACGUUAAUCGGGGCAGGGUGAGUCGACCCCUAAGGCGAGGCCGAAAGGCGUAGUCGAUGGGAAACGGGUUAAUAUUCCCGUACUUGGUGUUACUGCGAAGGGGGGACGGAGAAGGCUAUGUUGGCCGGGCGACGGUUGUCCCGGUUUAAGCGUGUAGGUGUGUGUUCCAGGUAAAUCCGGUUCACUUUAACACUGAGGCGUGACGACGAGGCACUACGGUGCUGAAGCAACAAAUGCCCUGCUUCCAGGAAAAGCCUCUAAGCAUCAGGUAACAUCAAAUCGUACCCCAAACCGACACAGGUGGUCAGGUAGAGAAUACCAAGGCGCUUGAGAGAACUCGGGUGAAGGAACUAGGCAAAAUGGUGCCGUAACUUCGGGAGAAGGCACGCUGACACGUAGGUGAAGUGAUUUACUCAUGGAGCUGAAGUCAGUCGAAGAUACCAGCUGGCUGCAACUGUUUAUUAAAAACACAGCACUGUGCAAACACGAAAGUGGACGUAUACGGUGUGACGCCUGCCCGGUGCCGGAAGGUUAAUUGAUGGGGUCAGCGCAAGCGAAGCUCCUGAUCGAAGCCCCGGUAAACGGCGGCCGUAACUAUAACGGUCCUAAGGUAGCGAAAUUCCUUGUCGGGUAAGUUCCGACCUGCACGAAUGGCGUAAUGAUGGCCAGGCUGUCUCCACCCGAGACUCAGUGAAAUUGAACUCGCUGUGAAGAUGCAGUGUACCCGCGGCAAGACGGAAAGACCCCGUGAACCUUUACUAUAGCUUGACACUGAACAUUGAGCCUUGAUGUGUAGGAUAGGUGGGAGGCUUUGAAGUGUGGACGCCAGUCUGCAUGGAGCCGACCUUGAAAUACCACCCUUUAAUGUUUGAUGUUCUAACGUGGACCCGUUACCCGGGUUGCGGACAGUGUCUGGUGGGUAGUUUGACUGGGGCGGUCUCCUCCUAAAGAGUAACGGAGGAGCACGAAGGUUGGCUAAUCCUGGUCGGACAUCAGGAGGUUAGUGCAAUGGCAUAAGCCAGCUUGACUGCGAGCGUGACGGCGCGAGCAGGUGCGAAAGCAGGUCAUAGUGAUCCGGUGGUUCUGAAUGGAAGGGCCAUCGCUCAACGGAUAAAAGGUACUCCGGGGAUAACAGGCUGAUACCGCCCAAGAGUUCAUAUCGACGGCGGUGUUUGGCACCUCGAUGUCGGCUCAUCACAUCCUGGGGCUGAAGUAGGUCCCAAGGGUAUGGCUGUUCGCCAUUUAAAGUGGUACGCGAGCUGGGUUUAGAACGUCGUGAGACAGUUCGGUCCCUAUCUGCCGUGGGCGCUGGAGAACUGAGGGGGGCUGCUCCUAGUACGAGAGGACCGGAGUGGACGCAUCACUGGUGUUCGGGUUGUCAUGCCAAUGGCACUGCCCGGUAGCUAAAUGCGGAAGAGAUAAGUGCUGAAAGCAUCUAAGCACGAAACUUGCCCCGAGAUGAGUUCUCCCUGAGACUUAAAGUCUCCUGAAGGAACGUUGAAGACGACGACGUUGAUAGGCCGGGUGUGUAAGCGCAGCGAUGCGUUGAGCUAACCGGUACUAAUGAACCGUGAGGCUUAACCUUACAACGCCGAAG